GACGAAGCGCAAGUGACGGUAUGUGCAGAAGAAGGACCGGCCAACUACGUGCCAGCAGCCGCGGUAAUACGUAGGGUCCGAGCGUUGUCCGGAAUUAUUGGGCGUAAAGGGCUCGUAGGCGGUUUGUCGCGUCGGGAGUGAAAACUCGGAGCUUAACUCCGAGCCUGCUUCCGAUACGGGCAGACUAGAGGUAUGCAGGGGAGAACGGAAUUCCUGGUGUAGCGGUGAAAUGCGCAGAUAUCAGGAGGAACACCGGUGGCGAAGGCGGUUCUCUGGGCAUUACCUGACGCUGAGGAGCGAAAGUGUGGGGAGCGAACAGGAUUAGAUACCCUGGUAGUCCACACCGUAAACGUUGGGCGCUAGGUGUGGGACACAUUCCACGUGUUCCGUGCCGCAGCUAACGCAUUAAGCGCCCCGCCUGGGGAGUACGGCCGCAAGGCUAAAACUCAAAUGAAUUGACGG
RNAcentral lists this ribosomal RNA (462 nucleotides) under Nocardioides phosphati. Its description in RNAcentral is "bacterial SSU rRNA". It matches the Rfam family "Bacterial small subunit ribosomal RNA", at positions 444 to 916 of the family's 1533-position model. Lineage: Bacteria; Bacillati; Actinomycetota; Actinomycetes; Propionibacteriales; Nocardioidaceae. The record is from RNAcentral.